CCUACGGGCGGCAGCAGUGAGGAAUAUUGGUCAAUGGGCGCGAGCCUGAACCAGCCAAGUAGCGUGAAGGAUGACUGCCCUACGGGUUGUAAACUUCUUUUAUAAAGGAAUAAAGUGAGGCACGUGUGCCUUUUUGUAUGUACUUUAUGAAUAAGGAUCGGCUAACUCCGUGCCAGCAGCCGCGGUAAUACGGAGGAUCCGAGCGUUAUCCGGAUUUAUUGGGGUUAAAGGGAGAGUAGAUGGGUUGUUAAGUCAGUUGUGAAAGUUUGCGGCUCAACCGUAAAAUUGCAAUUGAUACUGGCAGUCUUGAGUACAGGUGAGGUAGGCGGAAUGCGUGGUGUAGCGGUGAAAUGCUUAGAUAUCACGCAGAACUCCGAUUGCGAAGGCAGCUUACUA
RNAcentral lists this ribosomal RNA (396 nucleotides) under uncultured bacterium. RNAcentral describes it as "partial 16S ribosomal RNA". It matches the Rfam family "Bacterial small subunit ribosomal RNA", at positions 338 to 731 of the family's 1533-position model. The record is from RNAcentral.